AAAUUAACCCUUUACUCACCUGUAAACCAGCACCAAGACAGCAUCUUCCCUGUAUCCUGUUUAUCCUGAUAACGUCCUCAGGCUUGUCCAAACAAAUGUUUCUCAUAUAGAAGAAUUAUGCAUGUAAUGCACAUUACACCAAUCAAAUGCUUCUUGUAGAACCGAACAGCAAGAACUGAGUAAAACUCAAUUCUGGACAAAGUUUAAUGGGGUAAAAAGUAAAAUGAAAGACAGCAAGACCAAAUUCAAAGAGACAGUCUAGGCACCAUAAGCACUACUGCAUUAUUUAGU
Molecule: non-coding RNA, 291 nt
Organism: Pelobates cultripes (western spadefoot toad)
Lineage: Eukaryota; Metazoa; Chordata; Amphibia; Anura; Pelobatidae
Source: the annotation of a GenBank genome assembly